GACGAACGCUGGCGGCGUGCCUAAUACAUGCAAGUAGAACGCACAGUUUAUACCGUAGCUUGCUACACCAUAGACUGUGAGUUGCGAACGGGUGAGUAACGCGUAGGUAACCUGCCUGGUAGCGGGGGAUAACUAUUGGAAACGAUAGCUAAUACCGCAUAAUAUUGAUUAUUGCAUGAUAAUUGAUUGAAAGAUGCUAUUGCAUCACUACCAGAUGGACCUGCGUUGUAUUAGCUAGUAGGUGAGGUAACGGCUCACCUAGGCGACGAUACAUAGCCGACCUGAGAGGGUGAUCGGCCACACUGGGACUGAGACACGGCCCAGACUCCUACGGGAGGCAGCAAUAGGGAAUCUUCGGCAAUGGACGAAAGUCUGACCGAGCAACGCCGCGUGAGUGAAGAAGGUUUUCGGAUCGUAAAGCUCUGUUGUAAGAGAAGAACGGGUGUGAGAGUGGAAAGUUCACACUGUGACGGUAUCUUACCAGAAAGGGACGGCUAACUACGUG
RNAcentral lists this ribosomal RNA (505 nucleotides) under uncultured bacterium. RNAcentral describes it as "partial 16S ribosomal RNA". It matches the Rfam family "Bacterial small subunit ribosomal RNA", at positions 28 to 507 of the family's 1533-position model. The record is from RNAcentral.